RNAcentral lists this ribosomal RNA (465 nucleotides) under uncultured bacterium. RNAcentral's name for it is "partial 16S ribosomal RNA". It matches the Rfam family "Bacterial small subunit ribosomal RNA", at positions 338 to 795 of the family's 1533-position model. The record is from RNAcentral.
CCUACGGGGGACAGCAGUAGGGAAUCUUCCACAAUGGGCGAAAGCCUGAUGGAGCAACGCCGCGUGGGUGAAGAAGGUCUUCGGAUCGUAAAACCCUGUUGUUAGAGAAGAAAGUGCGUGAGAGUAACUGUUCACGUUUCGACGGUAUCUAACCAGAAAGCCACGGCUAACUACGUGCCAGCAGCCGCGGUAAUACGUAGGUGGCAAGCGUUAUCCGGAUUUAUUGGGCGUAAAGGGAACGCAGGCGGUCUUUUAAGUCUGAUGUGAAAGCCUUCGGCUUAACCGGAGUAGUGCAUUGGAAACUGGGAGACUGGAGUGCAGAAGAGGAGAGUGGAACUCCAUGUGUAGCGGUGAAAUGCGUAGAUAUAUGGAAGAACACCAGUGGCGAAAGCGGCUCUCUGGUCUGUAACUGACGCUGAGGUUCGAAAGCGUGGGUAGCAAACAGGAUUAGAUACCCUAGUAGUC